AUUGAACGCUGGCGGCAGGCCUAACGCAUGCAAGUCGAGCGGAUGAAGGGAGCUUGCUCCUGGAUUCAGCGGCGGACGGGUGAGUAAUGCCUAGGAAUCUGCCUGGUAGUGGGGGAUAACGUCCGGAAACGGGCGCUAAUACCGCAUACGUCCUGAGGGAGAAAGUGUGGGAUCUUCGGACCUCACGCUAUCAGAUGAGCCUAGGUCGGAUUAGCUAGUUGGUGGGGUAAAGGCCUACCAAGGCGACGAUCCGUAACUGGUCUGAGAGGAUGAUCAGUCACACUGGAACUGAGACACGGUCCAGACUCCUACGGGAGGCAGCAGUGGGGAAUAUUGGACAAUGGGCGAAAGCCUGAUCCAGCCAUGCCGCGUGUGUGAAGAAGGUCUUCGGAUUGUAAAGCACUUUAAGUUGGGAGGAAGGGCAGUAAGUUAAUACCUUGCUGUUUUGACGUUACCAACAGAAUAAGCACCGGCUAACUUCGUG
RNAcentral lists this ribosomal RNA (484 nucleotides) under uncultured bacterium. RNAcentral's name for it is "partial 16S ribosomal RNA". It matches the Rfam family "Bacterial small subunit ribosomal RNA", at positions 30 to 507 of the family's 1533-position model. The record is from RNAcentral.